Apis florea (little honeybee) is the source of this 791-nucleotide unclassified non-coding RNA. NCBI's taxonomy places the organism in Eukaryota, Metazoa, Arthropoda, Insecta, Hymenoptera, Apidae. The record is from RefSeq and is a predicted model, not a curated record.
UUUAAAUGAAUAAAUAAAUAAUAUGCGCCAAUCAGAAAGCAGCUAAAUCGCAGUUACGAAGUGGACCAUUGCGCAUCGCGGUGCGCACGGCGUCAGUCUACGGUUGAAAAUCAUGGUGAGUGGAUGUGUUGUCGACGUGGGAAAUACGCAAAAAUAUUUGUGACUGCGUGCAAUGCAGUUAAUAGAGUCAGUGUUUGUUCGUCAUAGUAUUUUUAGUAUUUUUUAUGAAUACAGUGGUCUAAUUAAAUUAAAUUAUAGGAGUCAAACGCGAAAGUAGAGUCAGUGUUUGCUCGCCGAUAUAAGUUCAUAAUUUACACGGUUAUGUGCUAUUAGUUUCAUAUUUUUAUUAUUGAAUUUGUUUUUAUGGAUAUUCGAUAAAAAAUAUCAGUGUACGAAGAAUAGUAUCAAGCAUGCAAAAAGAUUUCUAUCAACUUUCACAUCCUCCUAUAUUUUCUCGAUGACUUUUGGAUUAUAGCAGCAAUAAAGACGUUCGUCGCAUCAUUUGAGGGACCGAGCUUUAUCAUGCCAAUAAGAAACGUGACGAUUCCGAUGGGCAGGAAAGCCGUGCUCACUUGCGUCGUUGCAAAUCUUUCUAUCUACAAGGUAAAUUUUCCACUAACCAUGUCUCUUAAUCUCUGAAUCCUUUUUUCGCCUUUCUUUUCAUCCUCAAAAUUACAUUGCAUGGUUAGAUUCCGAUCGAAUGGAAAUCACUUUCUACCGAAUCACUUUAUAUCGCGUUCCUUUAUUUUACGUAGAUAAUUCUCUAUACAUACAUUACAUACGUGUAUGAA